UGUUGUUCUGGUCGUGUUUAAGAGAAGCUGGGUAUCUAGCGAUCAUAAGUCCACAUUUUCACGUUAGUCUUUAUCCACAAGCCAUCACUUUGAGGUCAUGUUACGUGUGAAGCAAGGCACUGCAUGGGUCCUGUUGAUGGUAGCUGCAUCAGCUGGGGCCUGUGUCCCAAAUGGUCUGGACUUGAGGCUGCUGAAGGCAUUGACGACUGAUUUGAGCAGGAACCAGGCUAUUGCCCCGUUCGCCAUGUCCACGCUGAUGACACAGGUCUGGCUCGGAGCCAGAGGCGACACCAGACAUGAGAUGACCACGGUCCUAGACAUAAAGACGGGUGCCGGCAGCAGGUUUUUGACGUG
Pollicipes pollicipes is the source of this 354-nucleotide long non-coding RNA. RefSeq lists it as uncharacterized. The transcript has 3 exons. NCBI's taxonomy places the organism in Eukaryota, Metazoa, Arthropoda, Thecostraca, Pollicipedomorpha, Pollicipedidae. The record is from RefSeq and is a predicted model, not a curated record.